AACGAACGCUGGCGGCAUGCCUAACACAUGCAAGUCGAACGAGACCUUCGGGUCUAGUGGCGCACGGGUGCGUAACGCGUGGGAACCUGCCCUUAGGUUCGGAAUAACUCCCCGAAAGGGGUGCUAAUACCGGAUAAUGUCUUCGGACCAAAGAUUUAUCGCCUUUGGAUGGGCCCGCGUUGGAUUAGCUAGUAGGUAGGGUAAAAGCCUACCAAGGCGACGAUCCAUAGCUGGUCUGAGAGGAUGAUCAGCCACACUGGGACUGAGACACGGCCCAGACUCCUACGGGAGGCAGCAGUGGGGAAUAUUGGACAAUGGGCGAAAGCCUGAUCCAGCAAUGCCGCGUGAGUGAUGAAGGCCUUAGGGUUGUAAAGCUCUUUUACCCGGGAUGAUAAUGACAGUACCGGGAGAAUAAGCGCCGGCUAACUCCGUG
Molecule: ribosomal RNA, 433 nt
Filed under: uncultured bacterium
Lineage: Bacteria
Description: partial 16S ribosomal RNA
Rfam family: Bacterial small subunit ribosomal RNA
Source: RNAcentral